GACGAACGCUGGCGGCGUGCUUAACACAUGCAAGUCGAACGGAAAGGCCCUGCUUGCAGGGUACUCGAGUGGCGAACGGGUGAGUAACACGUGGGUGAUCUGCCCUGCACUUCGGGAUAAGCUUGGGAAACUGGGUCUAAUACCGGAUAGGAACCAUCUUUAGUGUGGUGGUUGGAAAGUUUUUUCGGUGUAGGAUGAGCUCGCGGCCUAUCAGCUUGUUGGUGGGGUAAUGGCCUACCAAGGCGGCGACGGGUAGCCGGCCUGAGAGGGUGUACGGCCACAUUGGGACUGAGAUACGGCCCAGACUCCUACGGGAGGCAGCAAUGGGGAAUAUUGCACAAUGGGCGCAAGCCUGAUGCAGCGACGCCGCGUGGGGGAUGAAGGCCUUCGGGUUGUAAACUCCUUUCGCUAGGUACGAAGCUUUGUUGUGACGGUACCUAGAUAAGAAGCACCGGCUAACUACGUG
RNAcentral lists this ribosomal RNA (466 nucleotides) under uncultured bacterium. RNAcentral's name for it is "partial 16S ribosomal RNA". It matches the Rfam family "Bacterial small subunit ribosomal RNA", at positions 28 to 507 of the family's 1533-position model. The record is from RNAcentral.